Molecule: ribosomal RNA, 386 nt
Filed under: uncultured microorganism
Description: bacterial SSU rRNA
Rfam family: Archaeal small subunit ribosomal RNA
Source: RNAcentral
GCGCAGCAGUCGCGAAAACUUCACAAUGUGCGAAAGCACGAUGAGGGAAUCCCAAGUGCUUGCUCGUAAGAGUAAGCUGUUUACUCUGUCUAAAACGCAGAGAGAGUAAGGGCUGGGUAAGACGGGUGCCAGCCGCCGCGGUAAUACCUGCCAGCUCGAGUGGUGGCCGCUAUUAUUGGGCCUAAAACGGUCCGUAGCCGGUUUAUUAAAUGCCUGGGGUAAAUCGGACCGCUUAACGGUUCGAAUUCCGGGUAGACUGAUAAGCUUGAGACCGGGAGAAGCUAGAGGUACUCCUGGGGUAGAGGUGAAAUUCUGUAAUCCUAGGGGGACCACCAGUGGCGAAGGCGUCUAGCUAGAACGGGUCUGACGGUGAGGGACGAAGCCCU